GCGUCAGCGAGAGAACGUUGCCGCAGGCAACGGCCCGAAGGGCGAGGCGCUUUAGCGCCGAGUAAUCCUUCCCCCACCACCA
RNAcentral lists this small RNA (82 nucleotides) under Klebsiella aerogenes. RNAcentral's name for it is "partial RtT sRNA". It matches the Rfam family "RtT RNA", at positions 52 to 130 of the family's 130-position model. Rfam says of the family: This family represents a bacterial cis-regulatory element known as RtT RNA. The exact function of RtT is unknown although it is thought that it may be involved in changing the cellular response in relation to amino acid starvation. Lineage: Bacteria; Pseudomonadati; Pseudomonadota; Gammaproteobacteria; Enterobacterales; Enterobacteriaceae. The record is from RNAcentral.